GAUGAACGCUGGCGGCGUGCCUAAUACAUGCAAGUCGAGCGAACAGAUGAGGAGCUUGCUCCUCUGACGUUAGCGGCGGACGGGUGAGUAACACGUGGAUAACCUACCUAUAAGACUGGGAUAACUUCGGGAAACCGGAGCUAAUACCGGAUAAUAUAUUGAACCGCAUGGUUCAAUAGUGAAAGACGGUUUUGCUGUCACUUAUAGAUGGAUCCGCGCCGCAUUAGCUAGUUGGUAAGGUAACGGCUUACCAAGGCGACGAUGCGUAGCCGACCUGAGAGGGUGAUCGGCCACACUGGAACUGAGACACGGUCCAGACUCCUACGGGAGGCAGCAGUAGGGAAUCUUCCGCAAUGGGCGAAAGCCUGACGGAGCAACGCCGCGUGAGUGAUGAAGGUCUUCGGAUCGUAAAACUCUGUUAUUAGGGAAGAACAAAUGUGUAAGUAACUAUGCACGUCUUGACGGUACCUAGUCAGAAAGCCACGGCUAACUACGUG
RNAcentral lists this ribosomal RNA (497 nucleotides) under uncultured bacterium. RNAcentral's name for it is "partial 16S ribosomal RNA". It matches the Rfam family "Bacterial small subunit ribosomal RNA", at positions 28 to 507 of the family's 1533-position model. The record is from RNAcentral.